UUGAACGCUGGCGGCAGGCCUAACACAUGCCAGUCGAACGGUAACAGGAAACAGCUUGCUGUUUCGCUGACGAGUGGCGGACGGGUGAGUAAUGUCUGGGAAACUGCCUGAUGGAGGGGGAUAACUACUGGAAACGGUAGCUAAUACCGCAUAACGUCGCAAGACCAAAGAGGGGGACCCUCGGGCCUCUUGCCAUCGGAUGUGCCCAGAUGGGAUUAGCUUGUUGGUGGGGUAACGGCUCACCAAGGCGACGAUCCCUAGCUGGUCUGAGAGGAUGACCAGCCACACUGGAACUGAGACACGGUCCAGACUCCUACGGGAGGCAGCAGUGGGGAAUAUUGGACAAUGGGCGCAAGCCUGAUGCAGCCAUGCCGCGUGUAUGGAGAAGGCCUUCGGGUUGUAAAGUACUUUCAGCGGGGAGGAAGGGAGUAAAGUUAAUACCUUUGCUCAUUGACGUUACCCGCAGAAGAAGCACCGGCUAACUCCGUG
Molecule: ribosomal RNA, 489 nt
Filed under: uncultured bacterium
Lineage: Bacteria
Description: partial 16S ribosomal RNA
Rfam family: Bacterial small subunit ribosomal RNA
Source: RNAcentral